UAUAUCCCCAAAAAACUUAAAUACUAAAUAGGAUCUAAACUAUUCUACCGCCCCAGCAAAAUUCCACAAACCUCUAAUUAAAUAACCAAAACUUCUCAAAGGCACUAAAGAGACAUAUGAAAUAAAGAUUCACAGGGUCUUCUCGUCCAUUGAAACUAUUUCAUCCUUCUCAAUGAAAAAUUAAAUUCAACCACUAAAACAAAUUAAAGAAAGAAAAAGUCUCAUAAACCCAUUCAUACCAUUCCACAAUCAAUGAACUAAUUAUUAUGUACCUUUGCAA
RNAcentral lists this ribosomal RNA (280 nucleotides) under Facetotecta sp. RNAcentral describes it as "partial large subunit ribosomal RNA". Lineage: Eukaryota; Metazoa; Arthropoda; Thecostraca. The record is from RNAcentral.